AUUGAACGCUGGCGGCAGGCCUAACACAUGCAAGUCGAGCGGAUGAAGGGAGCUUGCUCCUGGAUUCAGCGGCGGACGGGUGAGUAAUGCCUAGGAAUCUGCCUGGUAGUGGGGGAUAACGUCCGGAAACGGGCGCUAAUACCGCAUACGUCCUGAGGGAGAAAGUGGGGGAUCUUCGGACCUCACGCUAUCAGAUGAGCCUAGGUCGGAUUAGCUAGUUGGUGGGGUAAAGGCCUACCAAGGCGAGGAUCCGUAACUGGAGUGAGAGGCUGAUCAGUCACACUGGAACGGGGACACGGUCCAGACUCCUGCGGGAGGCAGCAGUGGGGAAUAUUGGACAACGGGCGAAAACCUGGUACAGCCAUGGCGAGUGUGAGAAGGAGGUGUUCCGAUUGUAAAGCAGUUUAAGUUGGGAGGAAGGGCAGUAAGUUAAUACCUUGCUGUAUUGACGUUACCAACAGAAUAAGCACCGGCUAACUACGUG
Molecule: ribosomal RNA, 484 nt
Filed under: uncultured bacterium
Lineage: Bacteria
Description: partial 16S ribosomal RNA
Rfam family: Bacterial small subunit ribosomal RNA
Source: RNAcentral